AAGAAAGACAGUGGUGGAAACAGACCAUGGCUUUGCAUCCAAAGAAAGGCUGGAGAGUUCAACAAGAGGAUCCGAAGAGAAUAUUUCCUUCCCAAAUGAGCUGGCUGAGAAGGAUGAUCAGAGAAAUGAGGAGAAUGAGGAACUUCAUCAGCAAAUGCCAGUCAGAGUUAAAAAUGAAGACUUGAAAGGAAA
Long non-coding RNA from Heteronotia binoei (common prickly gecko), 192 nucleotides. RefSeq lists it as uncharacterized. The transcript has 2 exons. NCBI's taxonomy places the organism in Eukaryota, Metazoa, Chordata, Lepidosauria, Squamata, Gekkonidae. The record is from RefSeq and is a predicted model, not a curated record.